GCUGGGCGUAAUGGCCUAUGCCUGUAGUCCCAGCUACUUGGGAGGCUGAGGUGGGAGGAUCGUUUGAGCCCAGGAGUUUGAGGCUGCAGUGGGCUAUGAUCAUACUACUGCAUUCCAGCCUGGGUGACAGAGUGAGACCCUGACUCUU
RNAcentral lists this non-coding RNA (148 nucleotides) under Gorilla gorilla gorilla (western lowland gorilla). Lineage: Eukaryota; Metazoa; Chordata; Mammalia; Primates; Hominidae. The record is from Rfam by way of RNAcentral.